CCUACGGGAGGCAGCAGUGAGGAAUAUUGGUCAAUGGACGAGAGGCUGAACCAGCCAAGUAGCGUGAAGGAUGACUGCCCUAUGGGUUGUAAACUUCUUUUAUAAAGGAAUAAAACGAGGCACGUGUGCCUUUUUGCAUGUACUUUAUGAAUAAGGAUCGGCUAACUCCUUGCCAGCAGCCGCGGUAAUACGGAGGAUCCGAGCGUUAUCCGGAUUUAUUGGGUUUAAAGGGAGCGUAGAUGGGUUGUUAAGUCAGUUGUGAAAGUUUGCGGCUCAACCGUAAAAGUGCAAUUGAUACUGGCAGUCUUGAGUACAGUUGAGGUAGGCGGAAUUCGUGGCGUAGCGGUGAAAUGCUUAGAUAUCACGAAGAACCCCGAUUGCGAAGGCAGCUUACUAAACUGUGACUGACAUUGAUGCUCGAAAGUGUGGGUAUCAAACAGGAUUAGAUACCCUUGUAGUC
This 460-nucleotide ribosomal RNA is filed under the name uncultured bacterium. Its description in RNAcentral is "partial 16S ribosomal RNA". It matches the Rfam family "Bacterial small subunit ribosomal RNA", at positions 338 to 795 of the family's 1533-position model. The record is from RNAcentral.